UACGGGGGGGGCAAGCGUUGUUCGGAAUUACUGGGCGUAAAGGGCUCGUAGGUGGCCAACUAAGUCGGACGUGAAAUCCCUCAGCUUAACUCGGAAACUGCCGUGGAUACUAUCAAUCUUGAAUAUCGUGGAGGUAAGCGGAAUAUGUCAUGUAGCGGUGAAAUGCUUAGAUAUGACAUAGAACACCAAUUGCGUAGGCAGCUUACUACACGAUCAUUGACGCUGAGGCACGAAAGCGUGGGGAGCAAACAGG
This 253-nucleotide ribosomal RNA is filed under the name uncultured bacterium. RNAcentral's name for it is "partial 16S ribosomal RNA". It matches the Rfam family "Bacterial small subunit ribosomal RNA", at positions 524 to 776 of the family's 1533-position model. The record is from RNAcentral.